This 52-nucleotide non-coding RNA is filed under the name Trichobilharzia regenti. Lineage: Eukaryota; Metazoa; Platyhelminthes; Trematoda; Strigeidida; Schistosomatidae. The record is from RNAcentral.
AUCCAACUGGAGGACGAGUCCCAAAUAGGACGAAAUGCGCGUUAUCCUGGAU